Molecule: ribosomal RNA, 253 nt
Filed under: uncultured bacterium
Lineage: Bacteria
Description: partial 16S ribosomal RNA
Rfam family: Bacterial small subunit ribosomal RNA
Source: RNAcentral
UACGAAGGGGGCGAGCGUUAUUCGGAAUCACUGGGCGUAAAGCGUGCGUAGGCUGUUUUGUAAGUUGGGAGUGAAAGCCCAGGGCUCAACCCUGGAAUUGCUUUCAAAACUACAAGACUUGAAUCUCGGAGAGGAUAGCGGAAUUGUCAGUGUAGCAGUGAAAUGCGUAGAUAUUGACAGGAACACCAGUGGCGUAAGCGGCUAUCUGGACGAGUAUUGACGCUGAGGCACGAAAGCGUGGGGAUCAAACAGG